GGCGGAUGUCCACCUUACUUUUCCCCGGGUGUUGUCCGUCUCCCCGACGCACACUCACGGCUGCUUCCAUCUAUCCAUGCAGUUCACUUCAUUGUACUGGCUCCGCUCAUCAAUUAGGCGAAAAUUAAGCCUUUUUAGAUGCGAUAAUUGUCUUUAAGCGCGUCGAAGAGGAAUAUAAACUGUGAACAGAGGCGCAGAUAAGUUUUGAGUGCGAGGAGAGCGGAGAGAAACGAAACACAGAUGCUUCUACUUGUCUGUUGUGCUGUUUGCUCAGCAUGUAGGAGGAGGAGCUCCAUCAAGUAGUUGAUAAAUAAACAGCAAAAAAUGGUUACAGUAAUGCACCCUACAGAUCUGCCAAAUCAAUAUCACUGGUACUUACUCGCAGACCUUGUUAAAUGGAUUGGAUAAUGGCCAUACUGGACUGAUUCUCAUUAAAUAAAGCUUCUCGGCAAGUCUGUUUUUAUUUACUUGGUUACGGUGGUCUGCCUGCUCAUAUUUUAUUGCCACACUAAACCCUAACAUCCUGUUACCUUGUAUAAAAAUGAUUCCACAUGGUCAGGUAUACAGACAUUACAUUGGUAAAAGAGAGCACUGGAAUGUGAGCUCAAGUGUUUCUUAAUGGUCUGGGGCACUACAUGGCCCUGUGUUCUGUUAGUGGGUGGUGCAGCAUCAUCUUCUUAAUUAACUGGAGUAAUAAAGGAGGACGUGAGUUCAUCAGUUUGAGUCCUGUGUUGAACAAGAACAAGGGCCUCUGGAUUGUGUGUUGAGGUUCCUUGAAGGUCAAUAUGGUGAGAGAAGAUCAGAACGAGAGCAGAAAUGUAGCCAACAAACCAAUGGCCCAUUCAUCACCUUACAUCCCAUAUAAUUAAUCACACUGUAAGCUCAUUUUUGAUUAGUGUGACACCAAGAUAAGAGCCUGAUCAAAGCACAAAUGUUAAUUAGCCUGGAACCUCUCUGUUAAUUUUUUUAUUUCCAAUGAGCAUUACUUGAAAUGUUCAGCCCUAGUUUUCAGGCAACCAAGUUCUAUCUACUGAUGAAAAUGAGGGUUUCUGGGAGAGUUGUUGAGUGUGAAUGUUCUCAUACAGUAAAGUUAUGUUGGGAAAUAAACUCUGCUGAAGGGAAAAUAAUGGGAUUGCUUCCAAUGUAGCAACAUAAGGUGCUGCUCUACGUUUCAAGAGUGAUUAAGGCUUUACAGGGUUUCAAGUGAAAUCCUAUCGCAGCCAAAUAUCUGCCAAGUGAUAUUUUUAUGGGAGAUUGUAUGGAAGCAAACAAGAGACAGAAGUAUUUGAAUUUUAUCAGACACCGAAUGUAUAGCAUUGAAAAUAAUUACUUUGAAAAUCAUGUAUCUGAAUUUUUGUGAAAUACAAAAAUUCGAAUGUUCAAAUUCAGAUCCCAAAAAUUCAAGUGAAAAAAAUUCGACGUCAAAUAUUUCGGUGUUUAAAAUUC
Gymnodraco acuticeps is the source of this 1446-nucleotide long non-coding RNA. RefSeq lists it as uncharacterized. The transcript is spliced from 3 exons. The record is from RefSeq and is a predicted model, not a curated record. NCBI's taxonomy places the organism in Eukaryota, Metazoa, Chordata, Actinopteri, Perciformes, Bathydraconidae.